CCUGAACGCUGGCGGCGUGGCUAAGACAUGCAAGUCGCACGGGCCGUAGCAAUACGGUCAGUGGCGAACGGGUGAGUAAUGAAUCGCUAACGUGCCCCGGACUCUGGGAUAGCUAACCGAAAGGUUAGGUAAUACCAGAUGACAUAACUGCCCUGCAUGGGGUGGUUCUCAAAGGUCCGCCGGUCUGGGAGCGGGCGAUUUCGUAUCAGCUAGUUGGUGAGGUAACGGCUCACCAAGGCGACGACGCGUAGCCGGACUGAGAGGUUGGCCGGCCACAUUGGGACUGAGACACUGCCCA
This 298-nucleotide ribosomal RNA is filed under the name uncultured bacterium. RNAcentral describes it as "partial 16S ribosomal RNA". It matches the Rfam family "Bacterial small subunit ribosomal RNA", at positions 30 to 333 of the family's 1533-position model. The record is from RNAcentral.